Molecule: ribosomal RNA, 442 nt
Filed under: uncultured Bacillota bacterium
Lineage: Bacteria; Bacillati; Bacillota
Description: bacterial SSU rRNA
Rfam family: Bacterial small subunit ribosomal RNA
Source: RNAcentral
GGGCCCGCACAAGCAGUGGAGUAUGUGGUUUAAUUCGAAGCAACGCGAAGAACCUUACCAGGGCUUGACAUAUAUGGGAAUAUUUAAGAGAUUAAAUAGUCUUUCGGGACCCAUAUACAGGUGGUGCAUGGUUGUCGUCAGCUCGUGUCGUGAGAUGUUGGGUUAAGUCCCGCAACGAGCGCAACCCCUGUUUCUAGUUACUAACAAGUUAAGUUGAGGACUCUAGAAAGACUGCCGGUGAUAAAUCGGAGGAAGGUGGGGACGGACGUCAAAUCAUCAUGCCCUUUAUGUCCUGGGCUACACACGUACUACAAUGGUAAUAACAGAGGGAAGCAAAGUAGUGAUACUAAGCAAAACCCAAAAAGUUACCACAGUUCGGAUUGAAGGCUGAAAUUCGCCUUCAUGAAGCCGGAAUUGCUAGUAAUGGCAGGUCAGCAUACUG